CGGAUCCGCGCCGCUGCAGAGUUUGAUCCUGGCUCAGGAUGAACGCUGGCGGCAUGCCUAAGACAUGCAAGUCGAACGAGAUGGCCCAUUGAAGAUUGAGUGCUUGCACGAUUUCGGAUUUGGAUUUUCCAUCUAGUGGCGGACGGGUGAGUAACACGUGGGUGACCUACCUUUGAGUUUGGGAUAACUACUGGAAACGGUAGCUAAUACCGAAUAACAUACAGUUUCGUUUCUGUAUUAAAAGAUGCUUUCAAGCAUUGCUCAUAGAUGGGCCUGCGGCGUAUUAGCUAGUUGGUGGGGUAAUGGCCUACCAAGGCAACGAUGCGUAGCCGGACUGAGAGGUUGAACGGCCACAUUGGGACUGAGACACGGCCCAAACUCCUACGGGAGACAGCAGUUAGGAAUAUUCGUCAAUGGGGGAAACCCUGAACGAGCAAUGCCGCGUGAGUGAUGAAGGUCCUUUGGAUUGUAAAACUCUGUUGUAUGGGAAGAAUGACCAAACUAGGAAAUGAGUUUGGAGUGACGGUACCAUGCCAGAAAGCUCCGGCUAACUACGUGCCAGCAGCCGCGGUAAUACGUAGGGAGCGAGCGUUAUCCGGAUUUAUUGGGCGUAAAGGGUGCGUAGGCGGUUUGUUAAGUAUGAAAUUAAAGCCUGGGGCUUAACUCCAGUUCGUUUCAUAAACUGGCAGACUUGAGUAUGGAAGAGGUAAACGGAAUUUCUAGUGUAGCGGUGAAAUGCGUAGAUAUUAGAAGGAACACCAGUGGGCGAAGGCGGUUUACUGGGCCAUUACUGACGCUGAGGCACGAAAGCGUGGGGAGCAAAUAGGAUUAGAUACCCUAGUAGUCCACGCCGUAAACGAUGAGUACUAAGUGUUGGAUUUUUUCAGUGCUGAAGUUAACAUAUUAAGUACUCCGCCUGAGUAGUACGGUCGCAAGGCUGAAACUCAAAGGAAUUGACGGGCACCCGCACAAGCGGUGGAGCAUGCUGUUUAAUUCGAAGAUACGCGAAGAACCUUACCUAGACUUGACAUCCCGCUGACCGUUCUGGAAACAGAAUUUUUUCCUUCGGGAAACAGCGGUGACAGGUGGUGCAUGGUUGUCGUCAGCUCGUGUCGUGAGAUGUUCGGUUAAGUCCGAUAACGAGCGCAACCCUUUUCCUUAGUUGCUAACAUUUAGUUGAGAACCCUAAGGAUACUGCCGGUGAUAAACCGGAGGAAGGUGGGGAUGACGUCAAAUCAUCAUGCCCCUUACGUCUAGGGCUACAGGCGUGCUAUAAUGGCCAGUAUAAUAAGUCGCAAUACCGUGAGGUGGAGCUAAUCUCAAAAGCUGGUCCCAGUUCGGAUUGAAGUCUGCAACUCGACUUCAUGAAGCUAGAAUCGCUAGUAAUCCCGAAUCAGAAUGUCGGGGUGAAUACGUUCCCGGGUGUUGUACACACCGCCCGUCACGCCACGAGAGUUUGUAAUACCUGAUAACGGUAGCCUAACCUUUUAGGAGGGGGCCGAUUAAGGUAGGACAAGCGAUUGAGGUGAAGUCGUAACAAGGUAACCCGGGCGGCCGCU
RNAcentral lists this ribosomal RNA (1559 nucleotides) under uncultured bacterium. Its description in RNAcentral is "bacterial SSU rRNA". It matches the Rfam family "Bacterial small subunit ribosomal RNA". The record is from RNAcentral.